GGAAGGCGUAAAAAUGGGCUUUUCCGGACUUUUGGCAGACGCUAGAGCCCCGCGCGGGCUGGGUUAGCAGGGUGUUUGUGCCGCGCGGGCGGUUUAAUUUGGAAGAAAAAGGAGAGUUUAAGCCCAAGCGGAGUCGGAGAGAGGGAGCACAGCUCGCGUUGAGCUCGGUCGUCCCCUAAGGAGCCGUUCGGAAAAGCUGGGUUAGUCCCGGACCGGCCAGUUAAGUGUCUGCUGGGGGGGGGAAAAAAGCCUAAAUUCACCCCAAAACCCCCGAGGGGCUCGUGGUGCGCUUGUCGGCGGGGCAAAUGCUUUGCAGGGAGGAUGGUUUGUUUUGUGGGGGGGGAGGGGGGCGUAACAUGAUGUAUUUUCAGGUUUUUCUCCACAAAGUGCCAAAAAAACGCAAAAAACAAAAAAAGUAAGUUUAGGAAUGAGAGAGGAAAAACAAUACAAAAAAAAAAACAGGAAAAAACUAACCCAAACUAUAAUCAAAAUCCUCAGCAUCGACUUUGCCGUUUUUGCAGAUGCUCCUUGCCGGCCCCGAGCGACCCGGCGCCCUAAAAACCCGCCGCGGGAGCCACUAAGCAAAGGGCGGCCCCGGCCUCGUAGCUCUUAACGACCCCAUGGGAGACGCGUAACGAGGUUCCGCCAAAAUCGUAUCUCCGCACGGAAAGGCAGCCCGAUACCGCGGGCGGACGGCGAGCGCCGCAGGCGCCGAGUGCCCAGGGGAGGAUUUGAGCUCGGAAAGGGCCCGACCGGGAGGCCCGGCGGGCGGCCGCCCUUCUCUAACGGCCUAAUUCUCGUUGACGAACGAGCGAGGAGCUCUGCGGCAGUUGGGCGCAGAUUGAGAACAAAUAACGUCAACAAAAAAGCGCCAAAAAAGAAAAAAAUUUUAUAUAUAUAUAUAUAAAAAAAAAAAGGCGAUGCAUAUUCACACUGCUUCUACCAAAAUUGGUGCUGAUGUUGCUCAAUGGAUCGGACGAUGGCACCCGGGAUGCUCGCAGUUGGCAGCGAUUUGGGAUCAGCUGUGGCGAGGAGGAGGAUUUGGGAUGUGCCCCCAUUGGCCUCAGGCAGGUUUCUCAGCUUAAGGAGGAAUUUUGCUUCACUUCA
Molecule: long non-coding RNA, 1107 nt
Filed under: Apteryx haastii (Great spotted kiwi)
Lineage: Eukaryota; Metazoa; Chordata; Aves; Apterygiformes; Apterygidae
Description: lncRNA (ENSAHAG00000003561.1)
Source: RNAcentral